Molecule: ribosomal RNA, 229 nt
Filed under: uncultured bacterium
Lineage: Bacteria
Description: partial 16S ribosomal RNA
Rfam family: Bacterial small subunit ribosomal RNA
Source: RNAcentral
UGCGUAGGCGGAAGAUUAAGUCAGUGGUGAAAUCCCGCAGCUCAACUGUGGAACUGUCAUUGAUACUGGUUUUCUUGAAUUUAGUUGAGGUAGGCGGAAUGUGUAAUGUAGCGGUGAAAUGCUUAGAUAUUACACAGAACACCGAUUGCGAAGGCAGCUUACUAAACUAUGAUUGACGCUGAGGUACGAAAGCGUGGGGAGCGAACAGGAUUAGAUACCCUGGUAGUCC